RNAcentral lists this ribosomal RNA (253 nucleotides) under uncultured bacterium. RNAcentral's name for it is "partial 16S ribosomal RNA". It matches the Rfam family "Bacterial small subunit ribosomal RNA", at positions 524 to 776 of the family's 1533-position model. The record is from RNAcentral.
UACGGGGGGGGCAAGCGUUGUUCGGAAUUACUGGGCGUAAAGGGCUCGUAGGCGGCCAACUAAGUCCGACGUGAAAUCCCCAGGCUUAACCUGGGAACUGCGUCUGAUACUGGAUGGCUUGAGUUCGGGAGAGGGAUGCGGAAUUCCAGGUGUAGCGGUGAAAUGCGUAGAUAUCUGGAGGAACACCGGUGGCGAAGGCGGCAUCCUGGACCGAUACUGACGCUGAGGAGCGAAAGCCAGGGGAGCAAACGGG